RNAcentral lists this transfer RNA (61 nucleotides) under Candidatus [Bacteroides] periocalifornicus. It matches the Rfam family "tRNA", at positions 8 to 63 of the family's 71-position model. Rfam says of the family: Transfer RNA (tRNA) molecules are approximately 80 nucleotides in length. Their secondary structure includes four short double-helical elements and three loops (D, anti-codon, and T loops). Lineage: Bacteria; Pseudomonadati; Bacteroidota. The record is from RNAcentral.
CGUAGCUCAGCCGGUCAGAGCGCCACACUGAUAAUGUGGAGGCCCCCGGUUCAAAUCCGGG